Brassica napus (rape) is the source of this 2620-nucleotide long non-coding RNA. RefSeq lists it as uncharacterized. Lineage: Eukaryota; Viridiplantae; Streptophyta; Magnoliopsida; Brassicales; Brassicaceae. The record is from RefSeq and is a predicted model, not a curated record. The transcript is spliced from 3 exons.
UUUGUAGAAGUCAAUGUCAUUGGUAUUGAUCUUAGUUAAAAGUGUAUCUAAGUAAAACUGAAAAGUUAUUUAUAUUUUGUUUCAAUUUGCUUAUAAGUGUUAUAUUAGUUCUGCAGUGUUUAUAUGUUAAAAGAUCAAAUAAAAUAUAUUUUAUGAUAUAUUCCCUUUUAUUAUAUAAGCAAAUAUUAUUGUUUUUGUAAAUUGUGUAUAUUGUUUCCAAGUGUUGAUUUGUUUGUAGCUGCUUAACUAAUCAGCAUUAUAUUUUUGAAACUCCAAUUAUUAGUUAGAAGGUUAAUAAAUUAAUGGAUUUCAGAAAUUGAAUCGGUUUACUCCAACUCAGUUCGGGUCAAAAUUCCUUGACUAAAUAUCAAUAUAUUCAAAAUAUUUUUUUGAUCAAAGCUUCUCCUUCCAUCACCAAUUUGGUAGAGAUCUUGAAACAAUAUAGUUGCCUAUCUGCUGAGUUGCAUUUGAUCGAUUUGUAAGUGUUUCGAUUUCUAUAAGAUCUUCAUUAUCUUGUAUAUAAUUUAAAGUGAAGAAAGUUAUAUGUAUAUAUAUGUUAAUGCCAUUUUUUUUUUUUUUUUGCUUAAUAAGUUCAUGCCAUUGUUAGAGAUCUGUUUAUCAAGUUGAGAACGAGGAGGUGGUUUGUUUAAUCUUUAAUCACUUGGGUUAUCUUGAAGAUAUACAUUAAGACUGGUGAUUUGGUAUAUGUAUCUUCAUAUUUUGUAAACUUGAUCCAGUGUUCUUUCUUACUUCAUAUAUAAGAUUAUAAUCUCCACAGAAACUUGAAAGCAAAUUAUUACAUAAACAUAAAUAUGCAUUAUAUAUUAAAGAUGAUAAAGUAAAGAGUAAAUAUAAGGAUGCUUUCACUAAAACCUUAUUCCCUAACAGAUUGUUUAAUCCACUAUUUUCUUUCUAAGUGAUCAAUCUUUUUGUGUAAAAGUUGUGUGUGACUAUCUUUUCUAUAUUGAAAUUCAAAUUUGCACAUGACAUUACAAAACUAUAAUGUUUUUUAGCAAAAAAAAAACCUAUAAUGUUCGUGGAUCUUUACUAAUAAAAUAGAGUUUUUUUUCUUUUUUGGGCAUUUUUCGCCAUGUGUCAUCUUAUCAUUCGCUCAUGUUUUUGAAUUGAGUUUUGUUUUUCGAUUUUGGCUUUGAGAAACAUUCAUGGCCCAAUUAUAUAUCUAUUUAUGAAUGUUUGUAGAUUUCAGGCUUAGUGUAGUGAGAAUAAGUUUAGUCGUCUUCUGCCUUUAGACAUUUGUAACCUCAGCCGACGAAAGUUGCAGAGAUCAAAGACAACGAUCACCUCUCUGUAACGUCUCACCUUUCCAUGCGUUCCUCACCAAAUUCGACGACCAUAUAUGUAUAUGAAACCUGAUGGAGAGGCCUUAGCUCACUAUUUCGUCUCCCUAUCUUCUACUCUUAUUGCAAUCUUCUAAAAUGGCAAAUCCUCAGAAGGCUGGUCAGCGUAAGGAGACUGUUCUUACCCGUUUCCUCCUUUUCUGGUAAGCUAGGAAUGUGAAGAAAGGUGGAGAGCUAAUGGAGAUCAAUAUGGUUCUGGUAGAUGAUAAGGUAAUUGAUUCCACUGAAUAUGUUGUUUCUUUAAAUCAUAUGUGAAAUUUAGCACAAUCUUUUGGCCGUUUUGUCGCUAUGGUAAUAUGUUACGGGCUCUCAGUAUCUGUCUAGAACCUUUUGACUCUAAAACUUUCUGAAUAUAUUAUCCUGCUCAGGUGACAAGAGAUAUAACAUUGAGAGAAUGGUUGGUAGAGGAAACCGGAGAAAGUAUAAAAUUAAAUUUUGGUUCUGUAUACAAAUUCGGUGUUGAGAGCUCAUCACUGGUAUUCUGUUGAUAUAGCGUUGAGAGAAUGGUUGAUAUAAACACACACAUUUGGUGUUCGAUUCUCAUCAUUGGUAGUCUGAUUCAGUUUGGGAACCUGUUCUACAUAUUUGAAGGAAGAGGUUGAAGUUGCAUGGGAAUCAGAUGAAACAAAAAAAGAGUAGACUUGAAGCGUGGUUCUGAUAUUUGUCGGAUACGAUCUCUUUGCUAUCAAGGUCUGGAGGAAUAGAUAGUUUCGUUGGAAUAACCAGAAUGCCAUCAUCCUUGAUACAGAAUGGUUCAAAGUUAAGACACGAACAAAACUAAGAGACCUCAUAAUGAAAGAGCAAAAACACACACCUUGAGAAGUGAGCCAAUAGCUACCUGCAUCUGGUUCCUAAUAGCGUUCAGGUUCUCAAUCUCUUGAUUGGCCAGCUCGGCUGUCUUGCCUUAGGUCGAUAUCGACAUUGAUUUUUGGGAAAAAUGCAAGUUUUAUGAUAUCAUGGAGAUUGUCAUGUUGUCAAAGGGUUCUUGAAACGAGAAUGGAGGAAGUUCUGUCAAAGUUCAUAUUAGCUGGAAUAUUUAGGUGCAACACAGCUUGAAGCUAAACUAGAAGAAUCUGUUUCCAAGAUCAACAGAGACAUUUUAUUCACAGCAUAUUUCUACUUGUGAUGCUAUUUUGUUUAUUUCUGCCAACAUUAAUGAAACAAAAGAUUUCAAUAGAAUUUCACAAAGGUUUUGUUUUACUAUUUACACUAUAUUAUCCUCUCUUUUUUGUACACUUUAUAAAUAGUUACAUCCAAUCCAC